AACACAUGCAAGUCGAACGCAUCGCAAGAUGAGUGGCAGACGGGUGAGUAACACGUGGGAACAUACCCUUUGGUGCGGAACAACAGCUGGAAACGGCUGCUAAUACCGCAUGCGCCCUACGGGGGAAAGAUUUAUCGCCGAAGGAUUGGCCCGCGUCUGAUUAGCUAGUUGGUGAGGUAAUGGCUCACCAAGGCGACGAUCAGUAGCUGGUCUGAGAGGAUGAUCAGCCACACUGGGACUGAGACACGGCCCAGACUCCUACGGGAGGCAGCAGUGGGGAAUAUUGGACAAUGGGCGCAAGCCUGAUCCAGCCAUGCCGCGUGAGUGAUGAAGGCCCUAGGGUUGUAAAGCUCUUUCAGCGAGGAGGAUAAUGACGUUACUCGCAGAAGAAGCCCCGGCUAACUUCGUGCCAGCAGCCGCGGUAAUACGAAGGGGGCUAGCGUUGUUCGGAAUCACUGGGCGUAAAGCGCACGUAGGCGGACUUUUAAGUCAGGGGUGAAAUCCCGGGGCUCAACCUCGGAACUGCCUUUGAUACUGGAAGUCUGGAGUCCGAGAGAGGUGAGUGGAACUCCCAGUGUAAAGGUGAAAUUCGUANAUUUCCGNAAGAACACCAGUNGCGAAAGNGGCUCACUUGCUCCGGUACUGANCCCUGAAGUGCGAAAAAACUUGGGGGACAAAACANGGNUUNNAAAACCCCNNGGGGAGGCCCCC
This 711-nucleotide ribosomal RNA is filed under the name Achromobacter sp. 0103. RNAcentral describes it as "bacterial SSU rRNA". It matches the Rfam family "Bacterial small subunit ribosomal RNA", at positions 50 to 838 of the family's 1533-position model. The record is from RNAcentral. Lineage: Bacteria; Pseudomonadati; Pseudomonadota; Betaproteobacteria; Burkholderiales; Alcaligenaceae.